AACGGGGGGGGCAAGUGUUGUCCGGAUUUACUGGGCGUAAAGAGCGCGUAGGCGGUCUGUUAAGUGUGAAGUGAAAUCUCCAGGGCUCAACCCGGAAACUGCUUCGCAUACUGGCAGACUUGAGGAAUGCAGAGGUUUGUGGAAUUCCUGGUGUAGCGGUGAAAUGCGUUGAGAUCAGGAGGAACACCCAUGGCGAAGGCAGCAAACUGGGCAUUAUCUGACGCUGAGGCGCGAAAGCGUGGGUAGCAAACAGG
This 254-nucleotide ribosomal RNA is filed under the name uncultured bacterium. RNAcentral's name for it is "partial 16S ribosomal RNA". It matches the Rfam family "Bacterial small subunit ribosomal RNA", at positions 524 to 776 of the family's 1533-position model. The record is from RNAcentral.